AUGGGCGAAAGCCUGACGCAGCGACGCCGCGUGGGGGAUGAAGCUCUUCGGGGUGUAAACCCCUUUCGACCCGGACGAAUCGCCCGCAAGGGAAUUGACGGUACGGGUAGAAGAAGCCCCGGCUAACUACGUGCCAGCAGCCGCGGUAAGACGUAGGGGGCCAGCGUUGCUCGGAAUUACUGGGCGUAAAGGGUCCGUAGGCGGUGCGGCAAGUCGGGGGUGAAAUCUCUGGGCUUAACUCAGAGGCUGCCUCCGAAACUGCCGUGCUCGAGUGCGGGAGAGGCGAGCGGAAUUGCAGGUGUAGCGGUGAAAUGCGUAGAUAUCUGCAGGAACACCCGUGGCGAAGGCGGCUCGCUGGACCGUGACUGACGCUGAGGGACGAAAGCUAGGGGAGCAAACAGGAUUAGAUACCCUGGUAGUCCUAGCCCUAAACGAUCAGGACUUGGGGUGGCUCGCGUCCGCGGGUCGUCCCGGAGCUAACGCGAUAAGUCCUGCGCCUGGGGAGUACGGUCGCAAGACUGAAACUCAAAGGAAUUGACGGGGGCCCGCACAAGCGGUGGAACAUGUGGUUCAAUUCGACGCUACGCGAGGAACCUUACCUGGGCUCGAAAUGCUUCUGACCAGCUGUGGAAACACGGCCUUCCCGCAAGGGACAGGAGUAUAGGCGCUGCAUGGCUGUCGUCAGCUCGUGCCGUGAGGUGUUGGGUUAAGUCCCGCAACGAGCGCAACCCCUGCACGUAGUUACUACCCGCAAGGGAGGACUCUACGUGGACUGCUCCGGAUAACGGAGAGGAAGGUGGGGAUGACGUCAAGUCCGCAUGGCCUUUAUGUCCAGGGCUACACACGUGUUACAAUGCGCGGCACAAACCGUUGCCAACCCGCGAGGGGGAGCUAAUCGGAAAAAACCGCGCUCAGUUCGGAUUGCAGUCUGCAACUCGACUGCAUGAAGCCGGAAUCGCUAGUAAUGGCGUAUCAGAUCGACGCCGUGAAUACGUUCCCGGGCCUUGUACACACCGCCCGUCACAUCACGAAAGU
RNAcentral lists this ribosomal RNA (1035 nucleotides) under uncultured bacterium. Its description in RNAcentral is "bacterial SSU rRNA". It matches the Rfam family "Bacterial small subunit ribosomal RNA", at positions 371 to 1411 of the family's 1533-position model. The record is from RNAcentral.